This 939-nucleotide long non-coding RNA is filed under the name Homo sapiens (human). RNAcentral's name for it is "non-protein coding lnc-OR8I2-1:1". The record is from RNAcentral. Lineage: Eukaryota; Metazoa; Chordata; Mammalia; Primates; Hominidae.
AUGGCUGACAGAAAUGUCACUGUGAUAACUGAAUUCAUCCUCCUGGGGUUGACUGAUAACCCUGAAAUGAAUGUUGUCCUUUCUGUGCUCUUUCUAUUAAUCUAUCUCAUUACUGUCUUGGGCAACUUUUGGAUUAUCAUAAUAAUUCUGGCUAGUGCCCAACUCCAUUCACCCAUGUACUUUUUCCUUAGCCAGUUGGCUUUCUUAGAUUUCUGCUAUUCUUCAGUCUUGAUUCCUAAAAUGUUGGUGAAUUACAUAGCAGGACAGAAAGUCAUCUCUUAUCACGGUUGCCUCCUUCAGUAUUCCUUUGUCAGCUUGUUCCUGACUACUGAAUGCUUCCUCCUGGCUGCCAUGGCAUGUGAUCGGUAUCUCGCUGUUUGCCACCCACUUCACUACAAAGGUCUCAUGACUCCUACUUUCUGAAUCUAUUUGGUGACUGUUUCUUACCUGCUGGGCUCUGUAAACUCCCUCACCCACCUGAGUAGCUUACUCAGUUUGUCUUUCUGUGGGUCCAAUGUUAUCAACCGUUAUUUCUGUGACAUUCCAUUGCUCUUCCAACUCUCCUGUUCCAACACCCAACACAGUAAGAUUUUAUUUACUGUCCUUUCUGGAGCAACAUCAGUGACUACCUUUUUGAUAGUGGUUAGUUCCUAUCUGGUAAUCCUACUCAUUGUCCUGAAGAUACAUUCCACCAGGGGCAGAAAUAAAGCCAUAUCCACAUGUGCCUCCCACCUAAUGGUAGUGACUCUCUUCUACAGAACAGUGAUAUUUACUUAUCUGGGAGCCAACCCUGGAUACUCACAGGAUAGACCCAAAAUUCUGCCUGUGGAGUGCACACUUUUGUUGUCAAUACUAAAUCUUCUAAUAUAUAGCGUGAGAAACAGAGAAGUCAAAGAAGCCAUAAAAAUAAUUAUUAAGAGAAAAAUACUUCCUCAGUGA